Molecule: ribosomal RNA, 440 nt
Filed under: uncultured bacterium
Lineage: Bacteria
Description: partial 16S ribosomal RNA
Rfam family: Bacterial small subunit ribosomal RNA
Source: RNAcentral
CCUACGGGUGGCAGCAGUGGGGAAUAUUGCACAAUGUGGGAAACCCUGAUGCAGCAACGCCGCGUGAGUGAAGAAGUCUUUCUGUAUGUAAAGCUCUAUCAGCAGGGAAGAAGAUGACGGUACCUGACCAAGAAUCCCCGGCUAACUCCGUUCCCGCAGCCGCGGGCAUACGUAGGGGGCAAGCGUUAUCCGGAUUUACUGGGUGUAACGGGAGCGCCGGCGGCCGUGCAAGUCUGGAGUGAAAGCCCGGGGCCCAACCCCGGAACUGCUCGUGAAACUGUGAGGCUAGAGUACGGGAGGGGCAGGCGGAAUUCCUAGUGUAGCGGUGAAAUGCGUAGAUAUUAGGAGGAACACCAGUGGCGAAGGCGGCCUGCUGGACAGUAACUGACGUUGAGGCUCGAAAGCGUGGGGAGCAAACAGGAUUAGAUACCCGAGUAGUC